UAGACGGAAGGUCACUCAAGUGUCAACAUUA
RNAcentral lists this non-coding RNA (31 nucleotides) under Mus musculus (house mouse). The record is from RNAcentral. Lineage: Eukaryota; Metazoa; Chordata; Mammalia; Rodentia; Muridae.